CCGUUAGAUGUUCUGGGCCGCACGCGUGCUACAAUGGCAAAAUCAACGAGUAUACCUUUGUCGACAGACAUGGGAAAUCUUUUCAGUUCUUGCCGUGAUGGGGCUAGACCCUUGUAAUUGUUGGUCUCCAACGAGGAAUUCUUAGUAAACGCAAGUCAUUAUCUUGCAUUGAUUACGUCCCUGCCCUUUGUACACACCGCCCGUCGCACCUACCGAUUGAAUGGUCCGGCGAAGUCUUCGGACUGGCAGCAUGUAUGUGCUUGCCGGGAAGUUGAGUAAACCUUACCAUUUAGAGGAAGGUGAAGUCGUAACA
This 313-nucleotide ribosomal RNA is filed under the name uncultured eukaryote. RNAcentral's name for it is "partial 18S ribosomal RNA". It matches the Rfam family "Eukaryotic small subunit ribosomal RNA", at positions 1470 to 1796 of the family's 1831-position model. The record is from RNAcentral.